RNAcentral lists this non-coding RNA (238 nucleotides) under Dorea sp. RNAcentral's name for it is "T-box sequence". It matches the Rfam family "T-box leader". From Rfam's summary of the family: Uncharged tRNA acts as the effector for transcription antitermination of genes in the T-box leader family. T-boxes are found upstream of many aminoacyl-tRNA synthetase genes and some amino acid biosynthetic genes usually in Gram-positive bacteria. Lineage: Bacteria; Bacillati; Bacillota; Clostridia; Lachnospirales; Lachnospiraceae. The record is from RNAcentral.
GCAAACACAGUGAAGAAGAGAGUACAUUUUCCGUACAUUUUACAGAGAAGUUCCGGCAGGCUGAGAGGAACAGAUGAAGGAAGAUGGAAGAUGGCUUCGGAGUGGGAUGGCUGAGCCGCGAGGUUAGGUCAUGAAGGGACCGCCCUUUACAGCGGGAGGUGUUACAUGCACCCGGUAAGGCUGCUGUCGUGAGGCAGAAGCGAACAGAAGUGGUAACGCGGGAUAUCCCGUCUUCUCU